RNAcentral lists this ribosomal RNA (474 nucleotides) under uncultured bacterium. Its description in RNAcentral is "bacterial SSU rRNA". It matches the Rfam family "Bacterial small subunit ribosomal RNA", at positions 335 to 800 of the family's 1533-position model. The record is from RNAcentral.
ACUCCUACGGGAGGCAGCAGUGGGGAAUAUUGCACAAUGGGCGCAAGCCUGAUGCAGCCAUGCCGCGUGUGUGAAGAAGCUCCGUUCGGAUGUAAGCACUUUCAGUCGUGAGGAAGGUAGUGUAGUUAAUAGCUGCAUUAUUUGACGUUAGCGACAGAAGAAGCACCGGCUAACUCCGUGCCAGCAGCCGCGGUAAUACGGAGGGUGCGAGCGUUAAUCGGAAUUACUGGGCGUAAAGCGCAUGCAGGUGGUUUGUUAAGUCAGAUGUGAAAGCCCGGGGCUCAACCUCGGAAUUGCAUUUGAAACUGGCAGACUAGAGUACUGUAGAGGGGGGUAGAAUUUCAGGUGUAGCGGUGAAAUGCGUAGAGAUCUGAAGGAAUACCGGUGGCGAAGGCGGCCCCCUGGACAGAUACUGACACUCAGAUGCGAAAGCGUGGGGAGCAAACAGGAUUAGAUACCCUGGUAGGAUAGCGU